This 369-nucleotide ribosomal RNA is filed under the name uncultured phototrophic eukaryote. RNAcentral's name for it is "SSU rRNA". It matches the Rfam family "Bacterial small subunit ribosomal RNA", at positions 524 to 896 of the family's 1533-position model. The record is from RNAcentral.
UACGGGGGAUGCAAGCGUUAUCCGGAAUCAUUGGGCGUAAAGCGCCUGUAGGUUGUUUAAUAAGUCUGUUGUUAAAGCCUAGGGCUUAACCCUAGAAAAGCAAUGGAAACUAAUAGACUAGAGUAUGGCAGGGGUAGAGGGAAUUUCUAGUGUAGCGGUGAAAUGCGUAGAUAUUAGAAAGAACACCAGUGGCGAAAGCGCUCUACUGGACCAUUACUGACACUCAGAGGCGAAAGCUAGGGUAGCAAAAGGGAUUAGAUACCCCUGUAGUCCUAGCCGUAAACGAUGGAUACUAGAUGUUGUGUUUAUUUCACAGUAUCGCAGCUAACGCGUUAAGUAUCCCGCCUGGGGAGUACGCUCGCAAGGGUG